Long non-coding RNA from Lepisosteus oculatus (spotted gar), 1740 nucleotides. RefSeq lists it as uncharacterized. The record is from RefSeq and is a predicted model, not a curated record. NCBI's taxonomy places the organism in Eukaryota, Metazoa, Chordata, Actinopteri, Semionotiformes, Lepisosteidae.
AACCCCGGCGACAUGAAGUGAAGUUUGUGGAAAAGACGAAGGAGGCUGACUACUGGGCGAGUUCUUCACAAUAUUUUAAAAUGCCAGCUAUUAAAAUAUAGGGGCCUCCCAAGACAAGGUGCUGGUUUCACCUGGGGCCGGCAGGUGGCGACGCUGAGCAGAAGCGGCCGCGUGAUGCUCGAGGUGAACCGCGCCCUGGGUGUCCAGUACGGGCAGUGCCGCAGCGGUCGAGACCAGUACAUCAAGAUCCACUGGGAGUGCGUCGGCAAGGGCAAGGGCAAGGGGAAGGGCGUGUAAAAGAACACGUAACGAGACGGCCCUUGGGGGGGGAGAUCGCGCUUCUGCGCGUCAAGCCUUUAUCUGGGUCGCGAUCCCCUGGAUGUAGAUGAACUUCAGGGCAAUGCGACAGUCGCUGCGCCCUGAAGUUUGCAAAGUUUGCAAAGUAGCCGUUUCCAAGAAAGCCGGUGUGUUCAUGCGGCGCCUUUUUUUAUUUUGUAAACCUCCCACAAGGCCCGGGUUCGGCCUGAAUCAGACAGCCGAGUUGAUUUAAUGUAAGCCCCAGUGCCUAUUCCGGUACGGCUUGAUUAAAGCUUUGGAAGCUCGAUGGCUGCUUUUAGCGGGGGAACCUUUGUUGAGUGUCGCUCCAGACGGAGAAGUAAUGCAGAGGAGGAAGGUGCUGAUGGGGGGGGGGCACUCUCGGUGUUCUGCCUUCUCUUUUCAGGAAGUUCGUACAAUGUCGAGAAACAAGACACCGGUCAUCUAGACAUCCCCUGUGCCUACUUCCCCAUCAUGGAUUACGGAAGAUAAACAAGUGGAGGCUCAGCCGAUGUGGGCAUGCUGAUGUCUGCAGCGCAUUAUUCACAGAAGCAGAGGGAGUCCUGACGUCUGCAACUGUCCCAUCACAACAUCCAGAUAAUUCCAGCUGUGUUCCUGAUCCGCCUCCCAUUGCAAAAGUGGACUGUGGUGUGACUCUGACAGCAUCAAAGGGAGAAUUCUCAUCUCUGAACUUCCCCUUUCUAUCCCAAUAAUUACGAGUGUACAUGGGCCCUCAUAAGCUCCACCUGGGUACAAGGACAGGAUAUUUGAUCAUCCUCUUACACUGCCAGCGACAGUGGGAUUCCUGGUAUUUUUUUAAAUACAGUAUUAGGUAUUUGUUUUUUUUUCAACAAAACUUUUAUUGUCUAUGUUCCCUUGUUUCAGGUUUGAGCUGUUUUUUUUUAAAUGCCUUGUUUGCAACAGUAAUUUUAAAAAGCAGACUGCAUAACACUUGCAUUUUUUUAACUGUCUUUUUCCAGAAGUUAUCUUGUGAUCCUGCCAAGUCUGUGUGCUGAAUAUACUUAUUCCUGGCAAAAACAAGAUUCAGUGCAAAUCAUCAGAAUAAGUUAGGGACCCCCCUUUACUUAUCAGCAAGUGCCACUAUGAAUAAUUAUAAAUAAUUAUAAAAACAUCAUAAAACUGCAUGCUUAGCUCUGCGACAACUGAGCUUUGUGGUGUAGAGAGGUAAGCAGAUAGCCAGUUUGGCAUUGUGUAUCAGCCUGUAUUGGUAUUAAACAAUCAAUUUGCUGAAAGGAAGAGGAAUACAUUACUAAAAAAUGCAAAGGUUUUAGAUGUCACCAACAGCAACGGAAAGAGAGCUUUGUGUUUCUCAGAAAGUUUAUUCAAUUCUGUACUGAAGGCUUACAAACAGACAUGCUGGCUUGGUACUGCUGCAGACAUCUUGGCAGUCUGACUCCUGCUGCA